RNAcentral lists this ribosomal RNA (118 nucleotides) under Ricinus communis (castor bean). The record is from RNAcentral. Lineage: Eukaryota; Viridiplantae; Streptophyta; Magnoliopsida; Malpighiales; Euphorbiaceae.
GGGUGCGAUCAUACUAGCACUAAUGCAUCGAAUCCCAUCAAAACUCCAAAGUUAAUGUGCUUGGGCGAGAAUAGUACUAAGAUGGGUGACCUCUUAGGAAGUUCUCAUGUUGCACCCC